UGUUUAAUGGAUCAGUUCUUUAGGGAGCUACUGUGUCUCAGAUCAAGAAGCAGUACAGGCUAUUAAGUAUGACCCAUCAUCCUGAUAAAGGAGGGGAUCCUGAGGUAUUCACUAAAAUAGCUAAAGCUUAUGAAGCUUUGACUCAAGAGGAGACUAGGGAGAACUGGGAGAAGUAUUGUAACCCUGAUGGACACGUGUAUAAAGUAAUGAUUGGGUCUGUCUUGUUUGAUGUAGUUUGACUCAAGAGGAGACUAGGGAGAACUGGGAGAAGUAUUGUAACCCUGAUGGACCUAGAGCUGCUUCAUUUGGUAUAGCACUGCCCUCUUGGAUUGUUGAUAAGAAUAACUCAUUAUGGUUCUAGGUGCGUAUGUGUUGGUAUUUAAUUAUUGGACUCCUUAUCAUUGUUGGUAGUUGGUGGUAUAAAUCAGUGAAGUAUGGUAGCACUAAUAUAUUGAUACAGACUAGUAAACUGUACUUCCACCUGCUGUCCAGAGCCAAGACAAUGCCUGUACUAAGAGUGUUGAUGAUCCUAGCUACAGCAGUUGAGUUCUCUCCCAGUAAUCAGGCCGGACUGAAGAACAGACCCAGUGAUGAUAUAUACUUGAAUGAGCUGGUGAAGAAACUAGAAUACAUGUA
This 636-nucleotide long non-coding RNA is filed under the name Amphimedon queenslandica. RNAcentral describes it as "uncharacterized LOC109593167, transcript variant X1". The record is from RNAcentral. Lineage: Eukaryota; Metazoa; Porifera; Demospongiae; Haplosclerida; Niphatidae.